RNAcentral lists this long non-coding RNA (629 nucleotides) under Anser brachyrhynchus (Pink-footed goose). Its description in RNAcentral is "lncRNA (ENSABRG00000005885.1)". Lineage: Eukaryota; Metazoa; Chordata; Aves; Anseriformes; Anatidae. The record is from RNAcentral.
CUGCGGUCGCCAUGGCAACGGGGGGAGGGGCGCAGGUAGCCCGGGGCAGCCGCGACGGCCCCGCACGGCCCGGGGGGGGGUCCCUGGGGGGGUCCCUCGGUGAAAGGGGGGCGAGGGGCCGCGAGGGAACGGGGUGGUGGCACCCGGGGUGCCCCGUGAGGGCGCUGAGGUUGGUGUCCGGCAGCCCAGCUGACAGGGCUCCCUCCUGCACCCCUACCUGAGCCCACCGACGGCACAAACCGACAAAGUCAGCUUUUCAAUAAACUUUCCUGUGACGGUACCGCACACCCUGGGCACGCCUGGUGUCACGGGGGGGCAGAUAACCAGGCUGGAAGAAGGGUGAAACCGCUUAAGCCACGCAGAUGCACGCCUCUUCGCCGUUUUCGGACUCCCCUGGCUCACGUGGGCAUAAAUACGUGGAGAAAUGCAUGAAAUGCAUGCUUCUGGGAUCAAGAAUAAACUACGUAUUUGUGUCUUUGUCGGAAAGGCUCCCGUGGGGCAAUCCUCCUAAGCACUGGGAUUGCCUGUUUGGCAGCAAGGAGGCUUAUAAAAAGCAACUCCAGGUGGAAGUGGGCCUUUUCCUGCUCCUCCCUCCACACUGCUGCAAUUCCCUGUCGUCGAGGCCCUGA